AUACGAAAGGUGCAAGCGUUGUUCGGAUUUACUGGGCGUAAAGAGAGUGUAGGUUGUUUAUUAAGUCGGAUGUGAAAUCCCGGGGCUCAACCUCGGAACUGCAUUCGAUACUGGUAGACUAGAGUUCGGGAGGGGUAAGCGGAAUUCCGUGUGUAGCAGUGAAAUGCGUAGAUAUACGGAGGAACACCUGAGGCGAAGGCGGCUUACUGGACCGAUACUGACACUGAGGCGCGAAAGCGUGGGGAGCAAACAGGAUUAGAAACCCUAGUAGUCC
RNAcentral lists this ribosomal RNA (274 nucleotides) under uncultured bacterium. RNAcentral describes it as "partial 16S ribosomal RNA". It matches the Rfam family "Bacterial small subunit ribosomal RNA", at positions 523 to 796 of the family's 1533-position model. The record is from RNAcentral.